RNAcentral lists this ribosomal RNA (860 nucleotides) under uncultured bacterium. Its description in RNAcentral is "bacterial SSU rRNA". It matches the Rfam family "Bacterial small subunit ribosomal RNA", at positions 469 to 1336 of the family's 1533-position model. The record is from RNAcentral.
CCGAGGGUUCCGGAAGAAAAAGCAUGGGUUAACUCCCGGCCGCCACCCGCGGUAUUAGGAGGGAGGGAGGGUUUCCGGAUUUAUUAGGUUUAAGGGUGGGCAGGGGAGGAUCAAUCAGCGGUAAAAUGAGAGGUUCAACCUCUUCGAGCCGUGCAAAAGGGUUUUCUUGAAGUGAGGGAGAAGUACGUGGAAUGCGUAGUGUAGCGUGGAAAUGAAUCAUUUCACGCAGCACUCCGCUUGCGAAGGCAGCAUACCGGCGCUCAACUGACGAUCAUGCACGAAAGUGUGGGUAUGGAACAGGAUUAGAUACCCUGGUAGUCCACACAGCAAACGAUGAAUAUUAAUUCUUCGGGGAGAAUGAUCCCUGAGCGAUACAGCGAAAGCGUUAAGUAUUCCACGUGGGGAGUACGCCGGCAACGGUGAAACUCAAAGGAAUUGACGGGGGCCCGCUCAAGCGGUGGAACAUGUGGUUUAAUUAGAUGAUACGGGAGGAUCCUUCCCCGGGCUCAAAGGACACAGGAAUAUUUUUGAAAGGAGGCAGCUUUUCGGAGCGUGUGUUGAGGUGGGGCAUGGUUGUCGUCAGCUGGUGCCGUGAGGGGUAGGUUUAUGUGCCAUAACGAGCGCAUCCUCCCUCGCCAGUUACCAGCAAGUCAAGUUGGGGAAUCUGGCGAGACGGCCGGCGCAAGCCGUGAGGAAGGCGGGGACGACGUCAAAUCAGCAUGGCCGUUACGUCCGGGGUGACACACAAGUUACAAUGGCAGUCACCGAGAGAAGCAAAGCGGCGACGCAAAGCGGAACCCGAAAGCCCGUUUCCGUUCGGAAUGGAGUCUGCAUCUCGACUCCCCGAAGCUGGAUUAGCU